GACAGAGGGUGCAAACGUUGCUCGGAAUUACUGGGCGUAAAGCGCGUGUAGGCGGACCACCAAGUCGGACGUGAAAGCCCUGAGCUCAACUCAGGAACUGCAUCCGAAACUGGCGGUCUGGAGUAGUGGAGAGGAAAGCAGAAUUCCUGGUGUAGAGGUGAAAUUCGUAGAUAUCAGGAGGAACACCGGUGGCGAAGGCGGGUCUCUGGGCAGUAACUGACGCUGAGGAGCGAAAGCGUGGGGAGCGAACAGG
RNAcentral lists this ribosomal RNA (253 nucleotides) under uncultured bacterium. RNAcentral describes it as "partial 16S ribosomal RNA". It matches the Rfam family "Bacterial small subunit ribosomal RNA", at positions 524 to 776 of the family's 1533-position model. The record is from RNAcentral.